Molecule: ribosomal RNA, 697 nt
Filed under: Stenotrophomonas hibiscicola
Lineage: Bacteria; Pseudomonadati; Pseudomonadota; Gammaproteobacteria; Lysobacterales; Lysobacteraceae
Description: bacterial SSU rRNA
Rfam family: Bacterial small subunit ribosomal RNA
Source: RNAcentral
GCACAGAGGAGCUUGCUCCUUGGGUGGCGAGUGGCGGACGGGUGAGGAAUACAUCGGAAUCUACUCUGUCGUGGGGGAUAACGUAGGGAAACUUACGCUAAUACCGCAUACGACCUACGGGUGAAAGCAGGGGAUCUUCGGACCUUGCGCGAUUGAAUGAGCCGAUGUCGGAUUAGCUAGUUGGCGGGGUAAAGGCCCACCAAGGCGACGAUCCGUAGCUGGUCUGAGAGGAUGAUCAGCCACACUGGAACUGAGACACGGUCCAGACUCCUACGGGAGGCAGCAGUGGGGAAUAUUGGACAAUGGGCGCAAGCCUGAUCCAGCCAUACCGCGUGGGUGAAGAAGGCCUUCGGGUUGUAAAGCCCUUUUGUUGGGAAAGAAAUCCAUCUGGUUAAUACCCGGGUGGGAUGACGGUACCCAAAGAAUAAGCACCGGCUAACUUCGUGCCAGCAGCCGCGGUAAUACGAAGGGUGCAAGCGUUACUCGGAAUUACUGGGCGUAAAGCGUGCGUAGGUGGUCGUUUAAGUCCGUUGUGAAAGCCCUGGGCUCAACCUGGGAACUGCAGUGGAUACUGGGCGACUAGAAUGUGGUAGAGGGUAGCGGAAUUCCUGGUGUAGCAGUGAAAUGCGUAGAGAUCAGGAGGAACAUCCAUGGCGAAGGCAGCUACCUGGACCAACAUUGACACUGAGGCACGAAA